AUACGGAGGGUGCAAGCGUUAAUCGGAAUUACUGGGCGUAAAGCGUGCGCAGGCGGUUUGUUAAGUCAGAUGUGAAAGCCCCGGGCUCAACCUGGGAACUGCAUUUGAAACUGGCAAACUAGAGUGUGGUAGAGGGAAGUGGAAUUCCUCAUGUAGCGGUGAAAUGCGUAGAUAUGAGGAGGAACACCAGUGGCGAAGGCGACUUCCUGGACCAACACUGACGCUCAUGUACGAAAGCGUGGGUAGCAAACAGGAUUAGAUACCCUAGUAGUCC
Molecule: ribosomal RNA, 274 nt
Filed under: uncultured bacterium
Lineage: Bacteria
Description: partial 16S ribosomal RNA
Rfam family: Bacterial small subunit ribosomal RNA
Source: RNAcentral